UACGUAGGGGGCAAGCGUUGUCCGGAAUCAUUGGGCGUAAAGCGCGCGUAGGCGGCCCGGUAAGUCCGUUGUGAAAGUCAAAGGCUCAACCUUUGAACGCCGAUGGAUACUGCCGGGCUAGAGUCCGGAAGAGGCGAGUGGAAUUCCUGGUGUAGCGGUGGAAUGCGCAGAUAUCAGGAGGAACACCGGUGGCGAAGGCGGGUCUCUGGGCCGAUACUGACGCUGAGGAGCGAAAGCGUGGGGAGCAAACAGG
Molecule: ribosomal RNA, 253 nt
Filed under: uncultured bacterium
Lineage: Bacteria
Description: partial 16S ribosomal RNA
Rfam family: Bacterial small subunit ribosomal RNA
Source: RNAcentral